GGAUCCUUGCACGAGCAACGACGUCCUCCCAUUUAUGCCGUUUCAUUCUUGAUCCAAGAGCGAUGCAAGCCUUGGUCGGUUGUUGGGUUUCCUGUGUUGCAUACCUAGUGCGAUGGUAUUCGUUUGUAGCAAUCGUCCCACGUUCGUCUUGCAAUGCCCGUUUCGGCGUGCGCGUUGCCCGACGAACCGCGAAGCGCUCGUCGCGAUCCACUUCGGCCACGUUAAGUCGUGCGUCGUUUGUGGCUCGCGGCGAGUUUCUCGUGCUCACGGAUUCGGAAAGCAUUGAGGGUACGGGGCUAUUACCCCUAUUUGCCCAAAACUAAGCGUUCACCGUUAACUAACGUACGACUGUCGUGGCCGUCUCUUGUAAAUGCCGGUUCCCUCGGGUCGUGACAUUUUACUCGAGCGGUGACGACGUCAAUGAGGA
RNAcentral lists this unclassified non-coding RNA (427 nucleotides) under Mitreola petiolata. Its description in RNAcentral is "partial external transcribed spacer". Lineage: Eukaryota; Viridiplantae; Streptophyta; Magnoliopsida; Gentianales; Loganiaceae. The record is from RNAcentral.